Molecule: ribosomal RNA, 789 nt
Filed under: Triticum aestivum (bread wheat)
Lineage: Eukaryota; Viridiplantae; Streptophyta; Magnoliopsida; Poales; Poaceae
Description: partial small subunit ribosomal RNA
Source: RNAcentral
AUGCUGAACGCGAGGGUGAACGAGGAGCUGGUGGCGGCGGCGGGGGUGGAGGAGGGGGACGUCGUGCUCGAGAUAGGCCCCGGGACGGGCUCUCUCACCGCCGCGCUGCUCGCCGCCGGCGCCACCAUCGUCGCCGUCGAGAAGGAUAAGCAUAUGGCUACCCUUGUGAGAGAUAGGUUUGGAUCCACAGAGCAAUUGAAGGUCAUUGAAGAAGAUAUUACAAAAUUUCACGUUCACUCCCAUUUUCUCCCUAUCCUGGAGGAGAAAUCUCAUGGCAAGAAAAAAUACGCCAAGGUUGUGUCAAACUUACCAUUCAAUGUCAGCACUGAAGUUGUCAAACAAAUUCUUCCAAUGGGAGAUGUUUUCUCUGUCAUGGUGCUCAUGCUUCAGGAUGAAGCGGCACUACGCCUUGCAAAUGCUUCAAUACAAACACCAGAGUACCGACCUAUCAAUGUGUUUGUGAAUUUCUACUCUGAACCUGAAUACAAGUUCAAAGUAGAGAGGGCCAACUUUUUCCCUCAACCGACGGUUGAUGGUGGCGUUAUAAGGUUUAAAAUAAAGGAUGCUGGGGAGUAUCCGCUUGUUAGUUCUAACAAAAGUUUCUUUUCAAUGGUGAACUCCGCGUUCAAUGGGAAGCGCAAGAUGCUUCGGAAAUCACUUCAACACCUAUAUUCUUCUGCUGACAUUGAGGCUGCUCUGACCAAUAUCGGUCUUCCGCCUACGGCUAGACCGUCUGAACUGGGGAUGGAUGAUUUCGUGAGGUUGCACAAUCACCUGGGAAAAGUAUGA